This 851-nucleotide ribosomal RNA is filed under the name Mycolicibacterium psychrotolerans. RNAcentral describes it as "bacterial SSU rRNA". It matches the Rfam family "Bacterial small subunit ribosomal RNA", at positions 29 to 895 of the family's 1533-position model. The record is from RNAcentral. Lineage: Bacteria; Bacillati; Actinomycetota; Actinomycetes; Mycobacteriales; Mycobacteriaceae.
UCGAACGCUGGCGGCGUGCUUAACACAUGCAAGUCGAACGGAAAGGCCCUUCGGGGUACUCGAGUGGCGAACGGGUGAGUAACACGUGGGUGAUCUGCCCUGCACUUUGGGAUAAGCCUGGGAAACUGGGUCUAAUACCGAAUAUGACCGCGCGUUUCAUGGCGUGUGGUGGAAAGCUUUUGCGGUGUGGGAUGGGCCCGCGGCCUAUCAGCUUGUUGGUGGGGUAAUGGCCUACCAAGGCGACGACGGGUAGCCGGCCUGAGAGGGUGUCCGGCCACACUGGGACUGAGAUACGGCCCAGACUCCUACGGGAGGCAGCAGUGGGGAAUAUUGCACAAUGGGCGCAAGCCUGAUGCAGCGACGCCGCGUGAGGGAUGACGGCCUUCGGGUUGUAAACCUCUUUCGCCAGGGACGAAGCGCAAGUGACGGUACCUGGAGAAGAAGCACCGGCCAACUACGUGCCAGCAGCCGCGGUAAUACGUAGGGUGCGAGCGUUGUCCGGAAUUACUGGGCGUAAAGAGCUCGUAGGUGGUUUGUCGCGUUGUUCGUGAAAACUCACAGCUUAACUGUGGGCGUGCGGGCGAUACGGGCAGACUGGAGUACUGCAGGGGAGACUGGAAUUCCUGGUGUAGCGGUGGAAUGCGCAGAUAUCAGGAGGAACACCGGUGGCGAAGGCGGGUCUCUGGGCAGUAACUGACGCUGAGGAGCGAAAGCGUGGGGAGCGAACAGGAUUAGAUACCCUGGUAGUCCACGCCGUAAACGGUGGGUACUAGGUGUGGGUUUCCUUCCUUGGGAUCCGUGCCGUAGCUAACGCAUUAAGUACCCCGCCUGGGGAGUACGGCCGCAAGGCA